RNAcentral lists this ribosomal RNA (497 nucleotides) under uncultured bacterium. Its description in RNAcentral is "partial 16S ribosomal RNA". It matches the Rfam family "Bacterial small subunit ribosomal RNA", at positions 28 to 507 of the family's 1533-position model. The record is from RNAcentral.
GAUGAACGCUGGCGGCGUGCCUAAUACAUGCAAGUCGAGCGAACGGACGAGAAGCUUGCUUCUCUGAUGUUAGCGGCGGACGGGUGAGUAACACGUGGAUAACCUACCUAUAAGACUGGGAUAACUUCGGGAAACCGGAGCUAAUACCGGAUAAUAUUUUGAACCGCAUGAUUCAAAAGUGAAAGACGGUCUUGCUGUCACUUAUAGAUGGAUCCGCGCUGCAUUAGCUAGUUGGUAAGGUAACGGCUUACCAAGGCAACGAUGCGUAGCCGACCUGAGAGGGUGAUCGGCCACACGGGAACUGAGACACGGUCCAGACUCCUACGGGAGGCAGCAGUAGGGAAUCUUCCGCAAUGGGCGAAAGCCUGACGGAGCAACGCCGCGUGAGUGAUGAAGGUCUUCGGAUCGUAAAACUCUGUUAUUAGGGAAGAACAAAUGUGUAAGUAACUGUGCGCAUCUUGACGGUACCUAAUCAGAAAGCCACGGCUAACUACGUG